RNAcentral lists this ribosomal RNA (986 nucleotides) under Pseudomonas aeruginosa. RNAcentral's name for it is "bacterial SSU rRNA". It matches the Rfam family "Bacterial small subunit ribosomal RNA", at positions 56 to 1047 of the family's 1533-position model. The record is from RNAcentral. Lineage: Bacteria; Pseudomonadati; Pseudomonadota; Gammaproteobacteria; Pseudomonadales; Pseudomonadaceae.
UGUUAGUCGAGCGGAUGAAGGGAGCUUGCUCCUGGAUUCAGCGGCGGACGGGUGAGUAAUGCCUAGGAAUCUGCCUGGUAGUGGGGGAUAACGUCCGGAAACGGGCGCUAAUACCGCAUACGUCCUGAGGGAGAAAGUGGGGGAUCUUCGGACCUCACGCUAUCAGAUGAGCCUAGGUCGGAUUAGCUAGUUGGUGGGGUAAAGGCCUACCAAGGCGACGAUCCGUAACUGGUCUGAGAGGAUGAUCAGUCACACUGGAACUGAGACACGGUCCAGACUCCUACGGGAGGCAGCAGUGGGGAAUAUUGGACAAUGGGCGAAAGCCUGAUCCAGCCAUGCCGCGUGUGUGAAGAAGGUCUUCGGAUUGUAAAGCACUUUAAGUUGGGAGGAAGGGCAGUAAGUUAAUACCUUGCUGUUUUGACGUUACCAACAGAAUAAGCACCGGCUAACUUCGUGCCAGCAGCCGCGGUAAUACGAAGGGUGCAAGCGUUAAUCGGAAUUACUGGGCGUAAAGCGCGCGUAGGUGGUUCAGCAAGUUGGAUGUGAAAUCCCCGGGCUCAACCUGGGAACUGCAUCCAAAACUACUGAGCUAGAGUACGGUAGAGGGUGGUGGAAUUUCCUGUGUAGCGGUGAAAUGCGUAGAUAUAGGAAGGAACACCAGUGGCGAAGGCGACCACCUGGACUGAUACUGACACUGAGGUGCGAAAGCGUGGGGAGCAAACAGGAUUAGAUACCCUGGUAGUCCACGCCGUAAACGAUGUCGACUAGCCGUUGGGAUCCUUGAGAUCUUAGUGGCGCAGCUAACGCGAUAAGUCGACCGCCUGGGGAGUACGGCCGCAAGGUUAAAACUCAAAUGAAUUGACGGGGGCCCGCACAAGCGGUGGAGCAUGUGGUUAAUUCGAAGCACGCGAAGACCUUACCUGGCCUUGACUGCUGAGACUUUCCGAAAUGGAUUGGUGCUUCGGGACUCAGACCAGUGCUGCUGG